Molecule: long non-coding RNA, 17584 nt
Filed under: Malus domestica (apple)
Lineage: Eukaryota; Viridiplantae; Streptophyta; Magnoliopsida; Rosales; Rosaceae
Description: long non-coding RNA (MDOM_LNC010870)
Source: RNAcentral
CGUGAAUCUCGACAAAAGGUUGGAUUUUCCGACGCCGGAGUCGCCAAUCAACACCACCUUGAACAGAUAAUCAUAGUCGUCAUCCGCCCUGUACGCCAUGGCUGCCCUCCUCCCUCACAAAUCCAAAUUCGACUCGGCGGUUGGGUUUGGUUGGGUUCUGGUUUCCGGGUCGGAUCCGAAUUGGGUCGCCGGAUUUAUUCAAUUGGAAGAGCGACUCGGACUCGGAGGCAUGGAACGAAGGGAGGGAGGAUUGUGUGAAAACGGAAGGACGGCAAAUUUGAGAUUUUCUGCUGCUGAUAAAAAAUGAUAUGAUAUUUGAAGAGGUGUAUCACCUUGUGCCAUGUGGGCCCCACCCCAGAUUUAAGGCCCUUGUUUUUUCACUCCUGGGCCUGAAGGGUUAAUAGUUAUUUUUCUUAGAGGAAUCUUCGUACACUCAAAUUUCAUUAACCACUCGUAAACCGAUACGUAGAAAAAACUUAUUCGUUUUAAGAUGAGGUUUCAAAUUUUAAGUCGAAUGUCACACAAUCAAAUUUAAAAGUAUGAAGAACCUUCAACCGACAACGUGGAUUGAUGACAUAUGAAUGAAUUUUCUGCUGCCAAAAUUAACAUAUGAGAAAAGUGCUGCCAAUUUUUUUAUAAAUUAUCUUAUUGGGUGAGUCCUACAAAUAUCAUUUAUAAGAUAAAUAAUAAAUAGAUUAGAGGAAGAGAAAAUUUGACACUUGUCACAUUAGCUAUUAAAUUAACAUUUGAUAUUUAUUUUUUGACACAUUAGAGAUGGUCUUAGUGAUUUCUUAAAGAAAAAAAAUUAUUUAUUUUACGGCAAUAAAAUUUAGAGGGAAAAUUUGGAGAGAGUUGGAGAUUUCGCUGUAGAUGGUGUGAUUCAGAGUUUUCUUACUUUGUGGAUGCUUCUGCCUGUUUAGAGAAAGAAAAAACGAGGGGGUUGCAUGUUCUUGCAAACCAACAUUCAAAACUCACUUAGAAUAUAUUCAAACUUUGAAUAGAGAAGUAGAUGAGCUUGUGGAGACAAAACUUGGUUUUAAAAAUUAAAAAAAAAAAAAAUCUUUUUGGUGCCUUACAUCUCAAGCAAUCAAAAUCAAGAUAUACCUUGGGUUUGUUUGUUUGUUUGUUUUUAUUUUUUUGGAGAUGAAAAUAACAAUUACAAAGAAAAGACUUGUGGCGAGAAGAGCUAGCAAAAUCCCAUAAUGGAAUUUUAGAAUUACGCUUUUUUGUUGAAGCAUUUAACUCCAAGAUUCCAUGAUAAGGGGCCUAGUGGUAAUCUAUGCCCAAUUAUACAAGAAUAGAACAUUUUAUUAAUUGUAAUAUAAUAGGAAUGAGUGACUUGUCAUCCAAGAAAUUACAAUUUUAAUAAGAAAGACUUGUCCUUCAAGAAAUUACAAUUCUCUCUAUGCUUGUGCUCAUUAUUAUAGUGAUGGUGUAAAUCCUAGUUAUUAGAUUGAGUUUUAGAUUACUCCUUAUUAUAGUGAUUCUUUACUACUAGAAUUGUAAUUACUUGGAGGAUAAGUUAUUCCUUCCUCUUAGAUUACUAUUAAUAAAAAAGAGUAAUGCUUGGAAGACUAAAUUUGUAAACAAAAUUUUGUAAACUAUAUUACAUGAAAGUUGAUGGUUGGAUUAUUACUUAAGUGUUGAUAAACGUGCUCAUUCAUAUUAGUGACCACAUCAUUUAGUUUGUAAUUUUUUGUCUAUAAAUUUAGUUUUCCUAGUAUUACCCUUAGUAAAAAUACUGGUAUGUAAGAAUCACACAAUCUUAAACAUUCUACAAUUUCUCUCCACGCUCUCACUUGCCGCACCCUCUCUCAACCCUUUAGAUAAAUGGCCUCAACACAUAUCACAACGUUAUGGUAAAUGUUCUAUUCUUGUAUAAUUGGCACAGAUACACCAAUUAAAUGAAUGGUUGGAUCAUGUGGAGUAAAAGAUCCAAUGGCCAAAAAUAAAAGAAGAAGAAAGCAAACAAAAACAAGAAGAAGAAAGCCUAAACCACACCCCUGAUUAUACAUAAAUAAAAUCCAACAGCUUAGAAAAUUUUGCCAACUUAAAACAUGAAACCUGUUUGAAAUCCAUGACCCGUUUUAUGAAGAACCCUUUUGAUUUUAUAUUUUUUCCACGAAUUCGUGGCUCCUCAUUCUAAUCCUCCCUAACUCUACAUCGUCAUCUUGUUAGACAAUGGCAAAGUGUUGCAAAAAUUAAUAGUGUUGUGAGAACAUUGUCCCGAUUGGAUUAAAGUUAAAGAAUCAUUGUCACAAUUUUUUUUCAAUGCACUAUAAAUUACGUGCCAAAAAAACAAAGACUGCAGUAUAUAUUAUACCGCUGGUGAAAAUUAGGCAACAUACAUAUAACGUUUAGCAAACAUAUGAGAAUAAAAUCACUUCCAAGUCGAAAUAGUUAGGAGAAAAAAGUAAGCAAAAUAAGGCCGUUAAGGUCUGCCAUGCAUCCUGGCCACUCUAUAGUACACCGUGACCCUCCUCUAUACAAAUUAUACAGCGGCGGGGCUUUCUAACUAAAUCUGCAACCAUACUAAAAAAUAAAUAAAAAAACUAGUNNNNNNNNNNNNNNNNNNNNNNNNNNNNNNNNNNNNNNNNNNNNNNNNNNNNNNNNNNNNNNNNNNNNNNNNNNNNNNNNNNNNNNNNNNNNNNNNNNNNNNNNNNNNNNNNNNNNNNNNNNNNNNNNNNNNNNNNNNNNNNNNNNNNNNNNNNNNNNNNNNNNNNNNNNNNNNNNNNNNNNNNNNNNNNNNNNNNNNNNNNNNNNNNNNNNNNNNNNNNNNNNNNNNNNNNNNNNNNNNNNNNNNNNNNNNNNNNNNNNNNNNNNNNNNNNNNNNNNNNNNNNNNNNNNNNNNNNNNNNNNNNNNNNNNNNNNNNNNNNNNNNNNNNNNNNNNNNNNNNNNNNNNNNNNNNNNNNNNNNNNNNNNNNNNNNNNNNNNNNNNNNNNNNNNNNNNNNNNNNNNNNNNNNNNNNNNNNNNNNNNNNNNNNNNNNNNNNNNNNNNNNNNNNNNNNNNNNNNNNNNNNNNNNNNNNNNNNNNNNNNNNNNNNNNNNNNNNNNNNCCUCUGGCUGGAUCUGUUCGAGAUGGCCUAAGCUCUAGAGCCACAGUCUUAAAAGCCAAAAUUAGCUAACACAUUUGUAGGUAAGCUCACUUCACCAUAUAAACGCAUUAUAUGUAGAAUGAACACAUAUGCUGAUGACAAAAUAAAAUAUAGAUGCCUGCAAGACAUAUAAGGGGCGUUUGUUUGCCCUCACUAAGUGGUACUGGACUAGACUGGACUAACAAUUAGUCUAAUUUAGUGUUUGUUUUGUACUAGGAUUAUCUUUAAUGAGACUAAGAGGGACUCGCACGGACAAACUCCUUCGCUAGGAGUUCUUGGCCAGACCCCCCGAUACCCAUGGGAUUGCUAAGACCUCGUCUACUCCGUCCUCAAUCCUCAUCGUGCUUUUAUCUCUCUUGCUCUCUGUUCUUUUGAGCACCGACAACCACCAUCACACCACAACUCGCCAACUCCAGCGAGACCAUACCACCAACCUACCACCACUUUCUCCCUCUCUCCUCACCCUGAACCCAGAAUUUCGAACUGAGGAAGAUCCCGCUCUUACCGUUGUCUGUCCAACUCUAGUCGUCCUCCGAUCCACCCUCGAGGAAGAUCUCACACUCGCCGUCCUCGAUUCAAUACCGUCGAGGAGUUAUGUAGGUUAAUUUAUUUCAUUUCCUGUAUUUUUUUUUUGUUCAAUUUCAAACUCGUGAUGCAACUCUAAAAAAGGGCAGCAAAGCCUUGACCCGCAGCUCCAACACCGUCCCCUUUAUCCAGCCCCACUAGCUUGUUAAUCAGGUUUGUGUUAAUGGGUUUGAUAAAAUUACGUUAAGUCUGAGACAUUGCACCAAACGCUUCACUAAGUUAGUCCAGCUUAAUCUAGUCUAAGCCAGCCCAGCUUAGUCCCUGAAGCUAGUCCAAUCUGAGACUGUCCGGUGCAAAACAAACUCACCCAUAAAGCACUACUCAUAUUAAUUCAUCUAUAUGGCCCAAAGUAAGUUAGAACUACUAUUCAGUAGCUCAAAGAAAACCAAGAAUUAACUUUGAAGGCAAGUGUCAAAUUGUCUUAAUGGAUAGAGCAUUUCUCUACAAUUUACUACGUUCCAGAUUUAAACUCUCUCCCUUUUUAGUUUAGUUGAAUUUAGUGUAAAUUAUUCAAUCAUUUAUCGAAAUUUUUUGAAGAAGUAUAUAUGAUUUAAUGAGAUGGUUGGAUUUUGACAUUAUUAUCCAAGGGUAGUGCUAUAUGUACACCCUUUUUAACUUCUCCACAUCCCUCUCAAUUUUUCAAUCGUUAGAUUGAAUGAAUUGAAGAGGAUUCAUGACAAAAAAUUAAUAUAAAGGUGUAUGAGAGGUAAUACUGAGUGUGUAAAUUGCACUUUCCUUAUCCAAAUGAUUGUUCCAAAUCUAGUCCAGUUAAGAAAAUCUGUGAGUAUUUAAUGGAGUCGGGCAUGAAGAAGUAAUGAAUUCUCCCACAAAUAAAAAGAAUAUCUUGUAAAAACCUAUGUUACAUAGUGGUGGCAAUGUGUUAAGCCUUUACAUGAUGGCGUGGAUUCAAAUCUCGUCGGUGGGUAAUUUGAUAUCUAAUCUUACAAAAUCUAUCGUUUGACAAAAAAAAAAAAAAAAAAAAAAAACCUAUGUUAUCGUUAUCCCUAAUUUUCUAAUCAUUUGAACGAUUUUAACUGGCCUAUUAUGUAUGAAUGCUUUUGUAGAAAACACUUUUCUUUUCAAUUUCUAUAUGUGGGAAUACUUUUGUGAGAAGCAUAUCGAAAUUUCAAUCCACUUGGCAUUACAAUUUAGUGGUAUUUUUUUUCACUUAUAAAUAUGAGGUCUUAUAUUCUCGUGAAUAAUAAGUUUAGUACCAAAUUAUUACGAUUGACUUAUUAUGUGGCUUAACUCAAAUUUUUAUCCCUUAAUAUAAAUAUAUUAUUGUAUCAAAGAAAUUCAAAUUUUUUCAACACUUGAAAUCACUAUUUCACGAAUUGAUUUUGCAAUUCCUCCUCACAAAAAACAUUAAAAGUGCUCUAUAACUUAACUAAUAAUUUUAUCAUUUUAGGUGGAAUGUUCUAAGAAACUUAGUUAAAAGCAUUCACCUCUAUACUAUUUAUUAGGUUUGGCAAUUCCUGACACAAUCCGAUAACCCAACACGACACAGCACGAAAUUAACAGGUGUUCGGGUCGACACGAUAACAAAUCGGGUCAUUAUUGGGUAACCCGAUAAGCACAUGUUAAGAUAACGGUUUGGUUUGGAUAUACACGUGGAUAACAUGAUAAACGAUAAGCAAAAUAUUAAUUUUAUAAUUUUAUAACCCUAAAAAAAUACUAUAAUAAUUAUAUAUAUUAAUUUAACAAUUUUAUACCCCUAAAAACUAUAAUAAUUAUAUAUAUGGGAUAUGAUCAAGGGACAAACAUUUUGACAAAUAUUUUUACACUUCUUUUAAACCUUUAGAUUACAAAACAUCCAAAGGUCCAUAUUCAUUCAUUAAAUGACAUGGAUGCUUAAGGGAUUUUAACUAAUAUUAAUGACAAAAAUUAAAACUGAAAAAAAAAAUUCUGGAAAAUUAAAAAUAAAUUUUAAAAAUGGAAUAAACCCUAACUAGUUGUAAUCAUGAAAACAAACUACCUGCAGACUUUGAGCCAAUAACAAAAACAAUGAAAUCUCUUUUUAAUUUGCCGAUUGCGUAUGCAAAGCUUGGAUAAGAUUGUUGCCAAAAGUCCCUUAAUAUCUACAGAAAAAUCACCAUUAGGUAAGCAAAAGUAGGCUUGGCAAACGGGUCGUGUCUGUCGUGUUCGUGUCGUUUUCGUGUAACACCUGUUAUCUUAACGGGUCGUGUCGUGUCACACCCAUUAUCUUAACGGGUCCUUAACAGGUCGUGUCACUUUACCCAACGGGUAAAGUGACCCGACCCGUUAUGACCCGUUAAGAAAAAUAUAUUUUUUUUUAAAUUUGCACAUACCACAUAUUGCCAUAUAAAUAUUACUUCAAAACAUUAAAACAUUUGUCAUGUAAGUACUAUAACUACACUCGAAAAUAAGAGCCUAAUAAAAAAAAAUAAUACAUACACUACUAAUCUAUUAUAAAUAUUAAAUGUGCAAGGAUAUGCAAAAUGAAAGAGUUUUUGUUUUCACGGUUGUAAGUCUUUCUCAAAAGAUUAAAUCUCAGCCGAUCCAAAUGGUCAUCAAUUUUUUAAAUUUAAUUUAAUAUAUAUAAUUAUAUUAUAUAAUUACUAUAGUUUUUAGGGGUAUAAAAUUGUUAAAUUAAUAUAUAUAAUUCUUAUAGUUGAUUCAUACUUUUAUUAAGUAUAUAACAUAAGAUUUUGUGAUAUCCACAUCCACUAGUGUAAAUAUUUUAAAUUGAAGAUCAAAUUCAUAUAUGGUCAAGGACUGUAGCUGUAAAAAAUCAUCAAAAUUGGAGUUAAAAUAACCGUUAAAUCGUGAUUUUUCGUUUAUAACCGUCGAAAAGUUUUGUCCCGUUACUUGAUCUCUGAAUGUUUGUUUUUUGUGAUUUUUUGCUUAUGUGAUCUCGAAGCAUAUACAAACAAGUUUAACGGUUGGGAUCGUUGAAAUUAGUUUCGGAGAAUUCGUAUCCCAUCAAAACAAUAGAUUGACUAACACUUAAAGUUUAUUUAUAUUUUCAUUAAGUAUAACAUAAGAUUUUGUGUUAUCUACUUGUGUAAAUAUUUUAAAUUGAAGAUCGAAUUCAUUCUUUGUAUUCAUAUAGGGUCAAGGAGUGUAGCUGUAAAAAAUCAUCAAAAUCGGAGUUAAAAUAACCGUUAAAUCAUGAUUUUUCGUUUAUAACCGUCGAAAAGUUUUGUCUCGUUACUUGAUCUCUAAAUGUUUGUUUUUUGUGAUUUUUUGCUGAUGUGAUCUCGAAGCAUAUACAAACAAGUUUGAUGAUUGGAAUCGUUGAAAUUAGUUUCGGAGAAUUCGUAUCACCCAUCAAAACAAUAGAUUGACUAACACUUAGAGUUUAUUUCUACUUUCAUUAAGUAUAACAUAAGAUUUUGUGGUAUCCACUUGUGUAAAUAUUUUAAAUUGAAGAUCGAAUUCAUUCAUUGUAUUCAUAUAGGGUCAAGGACUAUAGCUGUAAAAAUCAUCAAAAUCGGAGUUAAAAUAACCGUUAAAUCGUGAUUUUUCGUUUAUAACCGUCGAAAAGCUUUGUCCCGUUACUUGAUCUCUAAAUGUUUGAUUUUGUGAUUUUUUGGUGAUGUGAUCUCGAAGCAUAUACAAACAAGUUUGACGGUUGAGAUCGUUGAAAUUAGUUUCGGAGAAUUUGUAUCCCAUCAAAACAAUAGAUUGACUAACACUUAAGAGUUUAUUUUUACUUUCAUUAAGUAUAACAUAAGAUUUUGUGGUAUCCACUUGUGUAAAUAUUUUAAAUUGAAGAUCGAAUUCAUUCAUUGUAUUCAUAUAGGGUCAAGGAGUGUAGCUGUAAAAAAUCAUUAAAAUCGGAGUUAAAAAUAACCGAUAAAUCGUGAUUUUUCGUUUAUAACCGUCGAAAAGAUUUGUCCCGUUACUUAAUCUUUGAAUGUUUGUUUUUUGUGAUUUUUUUGGUGAUGUGAUCUCGAAGCAUAUACAAACAAGUUUGACGGCUGUGAUCGUUGAAAUAUGUUUCGGAGAAUUCGUAUCCCAUCAAGUUCAAUGGUGUAUGUAUACAUAUAUAUAUAUAUUAAGUAGAUUUAAAUCUAUUUAUUUUGUAUGUAUAAUUGACCGGUACACAGAAUAGUACAUCACGUGUCAUUAUAAAAAUAGUGGGAUAUAUCAUGUGCGAUAAAAAGUUAAUAACUUAAAAAAAAAUAUUCUCACCACUGCACUUCUAUUAAUUUUAUUUUUUCCCUCUCUUUUUUGUUUCCUUUUCAACUUUUCAUAUAAUUUUCACUUUUCCCUCCACCCUAUCCAUUCAUCUUUCCCUAAUUCCCUCUCUUUUUUGUUUCCUUUUCAACUUUUCUUAUCAUUUUCAUUUUCCCUCCCUUUUUCUUCAAAAAGGGCGGCAUUGCAGCAAGGAAUGGAAUGGAUCAAUUAUGGAAUCAAAAUUCAAAUCAAUGGAUGCAUACAUAUUAAUUAAUAAUUAUUAUAGUUUUUAUAAUUCAAAAUUUAAUCUAUAUAUAUAUAUAUAUAUAAUUAUUAUAGAUAGUUAAUAUUUUGGGGUAUAAUUAUUGUAGUAUAUAUAAUUAUUAUAAUUAUUAUAGUUAAUUUAAUAUAUAUAUAUAGAUAUUUAUUAUAGUUUUUAGGGGUAUAAAAUUGUUAAAUUAAUAUAUAUAAUUAUUAUAGAUAGUUAAUAUUUUGGGGUAUAAUUAUUAUAGUAUAUAUAAUUAUUAUAAUUAUUAUAGUUAAUUUAAUAUAUAUAUAUAUAUAUAUAGAUAUUUAUUAUAGUUUUUAGGGGUAUAAAAUUGUUAAAUUAAUAUAUAUAAUUAUUACAAUAUUUUUUUUAGGGUUCUAAAAUUAUAAAAUUAAUAUUCUGCUUAUCGUGUAUCGUGUUACCCACGUGUAUACCCGAAUCAACUCGUUAUCUUAACAGGUGCUUAUCGGGUUACCCGAUAACGACCCGAAUCGUUAUCGUGUCGACCCGAACACUUGUUAAUUUCGUGUCGUGUCGUGUCAGGAAUUGCCAGGCCUAAGCAAAACACAAUCCUAUAUUCUUUAUUAUUUUCCUCUCUCCUUUUUAAUUUUAAUUUUAAUUACCUUCUAUAUUUUAUGCUUUUUGAAUUUUAUUUUUAUGUUUAAUAUUAGUUAAAAUCCACUUAAGCAUCCAUGUCAUUUAAUGAAUGAAUAUGGACCUUUGGAUGUUUUGUAAUCUAAAGGUUUAAAAGAAGUAUAAAAAUAUUUGUCAAAAUGUUUGUCUCUUGAUCCUAUCCCUAUAUAUAUAUUAAAUAUAAUUUUAAAAAAUUGGAGAGACCAUUGGAUCGGCUGAGAUUUAAUCUCAGCCGUCCAUUGUGCAUUAGGUUGGAGGCUAAUAUAUUUUUAUAUGGUAUAGUACUAUUGUUUUAUUUCUUUUCAUAAUUAUUUUGGUAAACUUCUCAUAAUUUGAAUUGUUUUUAAUGUUUGAUUUUUCUAUACUUAGUUUAUGCGAAAGAGAGUUAUGAUGUGGAAAACCUUACUGAAAACAUCAUCAACAUAACUCUUGAAGGCAAUAGAUCAUGCCAAAGUUCCAAUACAAUUUCUUCAUGAUGAUCGAUGAAAAUUGAGGAUUUUGUAAAAGGAAUAACAUGCAAGCUUUGAGUUCCAUUGGUAAGGUUUAAACUUUUGAGAAAGGCUUCACAACAUUGAAACCAAAAAAACUCUUUCAUUUUGCAUAUCCUUGCACAUUUAAUAUUUUGUAAUAGACUAAUAGUGUAUGGAUGGUUUUUUUUUAGGCUCUUAUUUUCGAGUGUAGAUGUAGUACUUAAACGACAAAUGUGUUUUAAUGUUUUGAAGUAAUAUUUAUGUGGCAAUGUGUGGUAUGUGCAAAUUUAAGAAAAAAAAUUAUAUUUUUCUUAACGGGUCGGGUUGGGUAAAGUGACUCGACCUGUUAAGGACCCGUUAAGAUAACAGGUGUGACACGACACGACCCGUUAAGAUAAACAGGUGUUACACGAAAACGACACGAACACGACAGACACGACCCGUUUGCUAGGCCUACUAUUUAUACAAAAAAUAAUCAAUCUUGUAUCUGAUUUAGAAAUUUCUCCUUUGUAUUAUACUUAAAAUAAAGAAAGGGUAAAUCUCAGUUUAUUACCCUCAAGUUUCACGGUUUUCAACAUUUAGUACAUGAAUUUUUUUUCGUCCAAGAGUCAUACCUAAAGUGUUAAUUUUGGGACAGUCUCAAACAUCUGUUAGUCUAGCUGUUAAGUCUUUCGUUAACUGAUGACAUGGAGCUCAUGUGGACAAAUGACUGGACGCCACAUGUCAUUAAGGGUCCACGUGAAAAUAAAAAAAAUAAAAAAAUAAAAAAACCAGAAUUUCAGAAUUCAAAACUCCUUUCCCAUUCCUCUUCUUCCCAACCGCCUUCCCGAUUUCUGGAAACACUGGCAGCCAUCUCAGCACGUGCAAGCCCCUACAGGAAUCCAGUUCUGGCGGAAUGGAACCUCAUUUCCCCUUUUCUCCGCGCCCAAUUCUCCACUCGCGAAAUUGGCUUGGCGAAUGGGGUUUCCUGAUUCCACAUCACGAACCCUACAAGAUCGCUCAAAAUGCUCGAACCCAAUACACUAUUUUCAUGGAGGGUUGAGGCGCCUCUAAAUCCCCGUACGGACUACAAGUCGUGGAGGGCGUUGGCGAAGUCGAAGACGUUCGUGUUGGUGCGCUUAGCCAUGGUAGCAUAGGAGGCGGAGGCUACGACGCUGAUGUGGGUUAGGGUUUCGAGGGUAGAGGGCUUCAUGGAUUUGAAUCCGACUAAUUGGGUGAUCUGAGACUGGCAAUGGCGAAUUGGAACUCUGGUGGGAUCAGGUUUUGGAUUGGAGGUGCUGGGCUUUGUUUGAGUUUUGGGAUUUUGUGUCAUGAUUUGGAUUUUUGGGACAUGGUGGUGGUGGCGUUGGCGGAUUGGAAGAAGAUUUAGUGUUGCAGAUGAGGAAUGGGAAUGUGGUUUUGAAUUUUAAAAUUUUGGGUUUUUUUUUGUUUGAAAUUUUAAUUUCCACGUGGACCCCUUAAUGACACGUGGCUCCCAGUCAUUGUCCACAUGGACGCCACGUUAUCAGUUAACAAAAAACUUAACAACCAGACUAACGAAUAUAUAAGACUGUCCCAAAAUUAACAUUUUAGGUAUGACUCUGGGAUGAAAAAAAUUCCAUGUACUAAAUGUUGAAAACCACGAAAUUUGAUGGUAGUAAACUGAUAUUUACCCUAAAAGCAACAUUCAAAAUGCGGGAAGAAAAGAAUAAAACAGAUGGGUGGCGAAUGACAGUAGUUCCAAUAUUAGCCAAUCAUCAGGAGUUGGAUUGUGGACAGAACCAACAUCUUUAAAUCGGAAUAAAAUUAAAAAUGUCUGACAAAUAUCAAAGUUUUCUCUCUCUCUCUCUCUCUCUCUCUCUCUCUCUCUCUCUCUCUCUCUCUCUAUGCCUUCCAAGCAAAAAUUUCACUGUUCCAAAAUCACAAUCCCUCCCUUAUUCACCUCAAUUUUUUUGCAAGUUUUUUAAUUCUUAAUCUCAUGCUUUUUGUCUCUCAGAAUAGAAGGAGAAUAUAUAGAUGGGCUUUUUAGCAAAAUGGUCUCUAAGAUUUGCAUAACACAUAACUUUAGUCUCUGAGAUUGGAAAUCAAUAGAAGUAGUUCAUGAGAUUGUCCACUAUCUGUUAUUUUGGUCAUUCCAUUAAAAAACUCAGUUAAAUGGUCCCUGAGCUUUUUAACGUUUUAACGGAAUGACCAAAAUGAUGGAUGGUGGAUAAUCUCAGGAACCAAAAGUUAUGUGUUAUGCAAAUCUCAGAGACCAUUUUGGCUAAAAAUACCCUCAACUUAAUGGAGUUUUUUAACAGAAUGACCAAAAUAAUGGAUAGUGGACAAUCUCAGUGACCACUUCUAUUGAUUUUCAAUCUCAAUGACCAAAAUUAUGUGUUAUGCGAAUCUUAAUGACCAUUUUGACUAAAAAGGCUAUAUAUAUAUAUAUAUAUAUAUAUAUAUAUAUAUAUAUAUAGAGAGAGAGAGAGAGAGAGAGAGAGAGAGAGAGAGAGAGAGAGAGAGAGAGAGAGAGAGAGAGAGACAGAGAGAGAGAGAGAGAGAGAGAGAGAGAGACUUUAGAUGCGGUCGCUAACCACUAAUACUCAUUGAUUAUAACCUUAGUGGUUUUCAAUUUUUGAUCAAAAUCCUUUAACUUUGUACACCUCAGCAUAUUAAUAUUAGGGUUAAUCUCUGUUUACUACUCUGAAGUUUCGUGGUUUUCAACAUUUAGUACAUGAAGUUUUUUUCAUGCCAGAGUCAUACCUAAAGUGUUAAUUUUGGGACAGUCUCAUACAUCCGUUAGUCAAACUGAUAACUCUGCCGUUAAAUGAUGAUGUGGCGCCACGUGUCAUUAAAAAAAUAAAAAUAAAAACUAUUAAAAUAAUUAAUAAAAUAAAAAAGUAAAAAAAAUUAAAAAACCAUCAUCUCCUACCUCUUUCCCCCACCCCGAUCCCAACCAUCAUUCCCUCCUACCUUACCCCCUCCCCUUGCGAGAAAAAACCCAUCAUCUUCUACCUCCCCCGAUCCCACCCAACCCUUCCUCUCUUUUCUCCUCUACGCCCACCCAACCCUCCCUCCCAUGCCCGAUCUAAAAACCCUCUUGGACUGGCGAAGAUGAACAAGAUCGUGGUGAGAUCGUUGGUCGGUGGUCUGCACGGUGCCCGAAACUACACCGCUGCAUUUCCACGACGGUUGCUGCUAGGUUGUUGGACGACGUCGAGUUCCUGAGCCGCCGGAGCAACGACGAUGUUAGCAAAUCUGGGGAUGGCUUCGAAGUUUCUAGGUUUUGGUAGGAGAGAAUGAAGGAAGGGUUUGGAGCUUGCUCAGUCUGUGGUGUCGCGGCCUUGAACCGAACUCAUCGAGGUUGCACAUAGUAGAACAUUCCACAUCGCCACCAACAACCUUGUCUGCCUGCCAACACCACACACAUCCCUUACGCCGCCACCAGGAUCCGAUCCGACCCAGAGUCGCUCUUGGCUUGUAGAUCCGAGUAGGGGUGUGGUGGGGUGUGAGUUAGUAAUGAAAUUAGUCAAACUUGGUUAUUUGACUAAUGAGGUGUAAAUCAAUAGGUUUGUAGGUGUAGGAAGGUGUAAAUCAAUGGGUCAACCAGAUUUGGUUGAUUUGAGUGGUUUGAGGUGAUUUGCUCUGGUUUGGGUGGUUUGAGGAAGGGUGUUGCAGGUGCAGAAGAGAGAAAGGAGGGAAAGGGUGCGAGUUGCAUAGGGAAGAAGGAAGGGUUUUGUGAUGGAGGGGGUGGAAGGAUGACUGUGCAGGUGGGAAAGUGGUGGAGAGGGUGGAGAAAAUGGAGGGAUGUCGGGGAAGACGACGGGUUCUGGGUCGGAUCGACGUGCAGGUGGGUGGGGCAUUCGGUGGUGUACGAGUUCGACGUGCAGAGGAGAAAGUGAUGAACAGAGAAGGACUAGGCCUAUGUAGAGGGAAAGGGAGAAAAAACAAAAGGGGAUCUGGGGAGAAGGGGGAGGGGGAAGGGGAAGGAUGGAUGUGCAGAUGUGCAGAGGGAGAAGGGAGGGAGGUCGGGGUGGGGAAGACAAAGGAGAUAUGGGGAUUUUUUUGUUUUUUUACUUUUAUUUUAUUAAUUAUUUUAAUAGUUUUUUUUUAAAUUUUUUUAAUGACACAUGGCGCCCAGUCAUUGUCCACGUGGACGCCACGUCAUCAUUUAACGGCAGAGUUAAUAGUUUGACUAACGGAUGUAUGAGACUAUCCCAAAAUUAACACUUUAGGUAUGACUCUGGGAAGAAAAAAAUUUCAUGUACUAAAUGUUGAAAAUCAUGAAACUUCAGGGUAGUAAACAGUGAUUAAUAUUAAUAUAUUUCUAUGUCAACAAUAAAACUUGAGAUUUUAUGGUAUUUAAAAUCUCACAUCUAAUGAGGUAUAAAAAAAAAGGGCCAACAAAAAAUAUGGAAAUUUUUUUCAAAAAUUUUGAUUGAAUAAAAAAUCAAUAUAACAAUAUAAUUCCUUUUGAAAAUGUAUACUAAUCAUUUACGCAUAUAUAUGUAUCAAUCAAUUGGAAACAGUGUUAAAAAGUGUCAACAGAAUGUAUCCAACAUUGUUAUGAAUUUGACCAAAAGAAAACUUUGUUAUGAAUGACAAAAUAGUCAUCACAUGUCAAAAGAAUGUACCAGUACAUUCGUCAUAUGUAAUUAUCUAUGGGGUACAAUUUCAACAUUGUUCCAAAAGUAAAAUGUUUUAACAUGUAACUCAUAUAAAUGUUUUGAAAGAAUGUACCCAUAUAAUUAUGGGAGCUUUAUAUAUAGAGACAAAAAACUUUCAUUAUAUUUCAAGGAACUCCACUAGUUCUUAAACAUGUCAAUGAGAGACAAAAACAUAAAAACAACUAAAGCCCAACCCAAAAACAUGAAAACAAUGUUUUAAAAUACCAGUUAUACCCCUAAGGCUUUAGAUUAAACAAAAACCCAGCCCUCACAACUCCAACAAAAUUAAUAUAUUCCAUAAGCUCAACUCAUCAUCCACUAUUUAUGUAACAUCCCACAUCGCCCAUGAGAGUGAAUCAUCUAUGCCUUAUAUGUAUAUUCUCAUCUCUACCUAGCAUGAGACAUUUUGGGAGCUCAUUGGCUUUGGGUUCUGUAGGAACUUCAAAGUUAAGAGAGUUCGCACGAGAGCAAUCUCAAGAUGGGUAACCCACUGGGAAGUUUUCAUGUGAGUUCUCAGAAACAAAACUAUGAGGGCGUGGUCGGGGCCCAAAGUGGACAAUAUCGUGCUACGGUGGAGUCAAGCCCGGGAUGUGGUGGGGGCCGGGCCGGGAUGUGACAAUUUGAUAUCAGAGCCAAUCCAUGGCCAGAUGUGUGUGUCGACGAGGGCGUCGGGCCCCUAAAGGGAUGGAUUGUAACAUCCCACAUCGCCCAGGGGAGUGGAUCAUCUAUGCCUUAUAUGUAUAUUCUCAUCUCUACCUAGCACGAGGUUUUUUGGGAGCUCACUGACUUCGGGUUCCGUAGGAACUCCGAAGUGAAGCGAGUUCGUGUGAGACAAUCCCAGGAUAGGUGACCCAUUGGGAAGUUCUCGUGUGAGUUCUCAUAAACAAAACCGUGAGGGCGUGGUUGGGGCCCAAAGCGGACAAUAUCGUGCUACGGUGGAGUUGAGUCUGGGAUGUAGUGGGAACCCGGGACGGGAUGUGACAAUUUAUGCAGAAUCGGUUUUGAAACUAUAUGCAAAAUCAGUUUGUAUCAUAUAUUACUAAAAUCAGUUCAAUCUGUCCUUGACCAUAUUUGUAGAAUCAGUUCAACUCGUCAUUGACUAUUUUUGCAGAAUCAGUUUAACCCGUCAUUGGCCAUUUUUUGUAAAAUCAGUUCAACUCUUUUGCUGACCAUUUUUACAGAACUAGUUCAAUUAAUCAUUGACCAUUUUUGCAGAAUCAAUUCAACUCGUCUUCGACCAUUUUUGCAGAAUCAGUUCAACCCGUCUUCGACUAUAUUUGCAGAAUCAAUUCAAUCAGUUAUCAACCAUUUUUGCAGAAUUAGUUCAACCCGUCCUCAACCAUUUUUGCAUAAUCAGUACAACUCUUGCUCGAUCAUUUUUGUAGAAUUAGUUCAACUCGUUAUCGACCAUUUUUGCAGAAUCAGUUCAAUCAGUCAUCGACCAUUUUUGUAGAAUUAGUUCAACCUAUCAUCGACCAUUCUUGCAUAAUCAAUUCAUCUCGUCCUAAACGAUUUUUGCAUAAUCAAUUCAACCCGUCUAAAACCAUUUUUACAGAAUCAUUUUAAUUAGUCAUCGGCCAUUUUUGUAGAAUCAGAAUCAGCUCAACCUGUCCUCAGCUAUUUUUACAGAAUCAGUUCAACCCGUCAUCAACCAUUUUUUACAUAAUUAGUUCAAUAAGGCAUUGAUUAUUUUUGCAGAAUCAGUUCAACCCAUCUUCGACGAUUUUUGUAAAUCAAUUUUAAAUAUAUGUAAAAUCAGUUUUGUAUAUACUUUUUUAGUAAAAUCAAUUUAUAUAAUUUCUCCAUAUAUAAAGCUCCCUAGUAUAAUCAGUUUAUAUUUUUUCAAAAGAAAAUAAUUUAAAAAUUAAAAAUUAACUUAAAAAAUUAAGUGGGAAGUGGAUCCCACCCAUCCUUUCCACCUACCAUCCCACCUCCUGACCUCCCAUUCUUCUUCGUCACCCUUAAACUCACAAUCCCUCAUUAUUCACGACUUCAUCCUCUCCAAUUUGUUUCUUCUUCUUCGGACAAAUUUCAGAACUUCCAAUCUACAAGUCGGUUUGACAAACGGUUUUUACUACGGAAUCAGUGAAUGUAACCUAACUAGCUAAGGUAAUUUUUAGAAACAUGCAUUCUGGUUUUGAAAACCCUGAAUACCAUACAGUAAAAACUUAAAGACAAAUUCCUUGUGUUGACAGGUACAAAUCUUGAAACUCCAGGGGCAGCAAAAUGAGAAGACGACGCCCUUCAGCUUGACCUAUCGCUCUCACGAUUAGGCAGAAACAGCAACUAUCUUUCUUAACAGCAGAAACGUCAUCCUUGUUUCCGACAUUUAUGGUCUGUCCCUUGGGCAAUGCUGCAGGAUCAUCUCCGACCUCUAGUGCUUUCCGGCAGACUACAUGGUAUAUCUGUGUUAGGACUUCAGUGAAAGCAUUUUCAACGUUCAUAGACUCGAGUGCUGAUGUCUCCAUAAAGAAGGUGUUUUCUCUCUCAGCAAAAGCCUUAGCAUCCUCAACAGAAACAGCACGCAGGUGACGCAGGUCAGCUUUGUUACCCACGAGCAUUAUCACAAUGUUGGAGUCUGUGUGAUCCCGUAGCUCCUUCAACCAUCUCUCAACAUUCUCAAAUGUCACAUGCCGGGUGACAUCAUAGACAAGCAAAGCGCCAACAGCUCCUCGGUAGUAUGCACUUGUAAUUGCACGGUACCUUCAACAAAAGAAAAAAUUACUCAAAACUUAAAAUUCGGGCAAUCAUCAUUCACAAAUGACAACCGCAACCACAUCAAAACAACAAAUUAUUAAAUGCCCUGAAAGCUAUUAUCUCAAAUCUUCUAGUCUGCUACCGAAAAGGUUCACCAACACAAACUAAAGACUACAUCUGCUCGGUAGAAGGAAAGCAACGAAUAUUCAGUACCAAUCCUAUUUCCGAAAAACACACUAUUCAACACAUAAAGCCACAUUAGUAGAAUCCCUUGUUGGAUUUACAUCUGACGGUACAGGAGAGACAUCUUCACUUACCAGAUGACCUACUUAUAAUGUUCAAAAGUUUAUCCUUCUGCAAUGAACCAAGCAGAAAGAACUAAACAUGUACUUUUUCGAUGCUCAAUUCUUUGCGAUUAUAGCUUACAAUUUCGUAAUUUUGUAAUUUGAUAAUUCUAUUAUUCAAUACAAGAGAACAUGUUCAAAUUCAGAAGUGAUCUUACAUUGGUGUCAGAUUCUGUUCAGCAUUCAAACAAUAAACCGAAAACAAAAAUAAAAACCCAAUUAGUAGCAGAUCUCGAUUCGUAUGGCGAACGAAAACUCUAAACAGUCCCUUCAAUUUUCCCACAUUUUCUCAGCACCCAAUUACCCUUUUUCCCACAUUUUCUCAGCAUCCAAUCACCCAUUUACCCAAAUCCCAUAACAAAAAAUAAAAAAUAAAAAAAAGGCAAACAGAUUGAAAUUAUCGAAAUGUGAAUUGGGCGAGAAAGUUAAAAACCUUUCUUGGCCAGCGGUAUCCCAAAUCUGGGCCUUGACGAUCUUCUCAUCAACGUGGAUACUCCGAGUGGCGAACUCGACGCCGAUCGUCGACUUCGACUCGAGGCUGAACUCGUUGCGCGUGAAUCUCGACAAAAGGUUGGAUUUUCCGACGCCGGAGUCGCCAAUCAACACCACCUUGAACAGAUAAUCAUAGUCGUCAUCCGCCCUGUACGCCAUGGCUGCCCUCCUCCCUCACAAAUCCAAAUUCGACUCGGCGGUUGGGUUUGGUUGGGUUCUGGUUUCCGG